Molecule: ribosomal RNA, 253 nt
Filed under: uncultured bacterium
Lineage: Bacteria
Description: partial 16S ribosomal RNA
Rfam family: Bacterial small subunit ribosomal RNA
Source: RNAcentral
UACGUAGGUGGCAAGCGUUAUCCGGAAUUACUGGGCGUAAAGGGUCCGCAGGUGGGACGAUUAGUCUGGUGUGACAUCCCCCGGCUCAACUGGGGGAGGCCAUUGGAAACUGUCGUUCUUGAGUCACGGAGAGGGGUGCGGAAUUCCGGGUGUAGUGGUGGAAUGCGUAGAGAUCCGGAGGAACACCAGAGGCGCAAGCGGCACCCUGGCUGCUGACUGACACUGAGGGACGAAAGCGUGGGGAGCAAACAGG